AAAGAGAUACAAAGAAACAGAACAGUGUAGAUCACAACAGACGCUUGGCAGAGAGACACGCUUCCCUCCCAGAAGUCCAAAUGACUAAGUCACCAGAAAGAUAUUACCUGGGAAUUCUUAUUUCUGUAAGAAAUGGCAACAGCAGUUUUUAUUCUGGUUCUCAACUGGUGGCAGAGGUUGUCCCCCAGGAGACACUUGGUGGCAUCUGGUGGGAAGGCUGCUACUGACAUCUAGUGGAUAGAGGGCAAACAUUCUAGUAUGCGUGGACCAACACUAAGGCUCCAAUGGCUGUGGAGCUAAGGAUGAGAAAUUAGCCUUUAGUCAAGUUCCAUCAGAGCACAGGAUGCAUCCGACUCCUCUCACAGCUGCUGAGGGCCUUUGCUGCAAUGGUACACGCUCUGCUGAGGGCAGCUGUUAGAUCGACCCCAGAAAAUUCACUGUCAAGGCUGAGACCACAGUCAUCUUUCCAGGACUGUCCUUGGGAGAGAGACCCUUCUGUCUGGUCUUAGUUCCAAAGAUAGCUCUCCUCUUUAUUUUAAAUCACUGUUAACUCUGGAAUGGACUAUACGGUCCUUUUGGAGUUGGGUAUUAAACAAGUGUGAGCCAAACUUGGGACCCACACA
Molecule: long non-coding RNA, 623 nt
Filed under: Mus pahari (shrew mouse)
Lineage: Eukaryota; Metazoa; Chordata; Mammalia; Rodentia; Muridae
Description: lncRNA (MGP_PahariEiJ_G0006446.1)
Source: RNAcentral